Molecule: ribosomal RNA, 484 nt
Filed under: uncultured bacterium
Lineage: Bacteria
Description: partial 16S ribosomal RNA
Rfam family: Bacterial small subunit ribosomal RNA
Source: RNAcentral
AUUGAACGCUGGCGGCAGGCCUAACACAUGCAAGUCGAGCGGAUGAAGGGAGCUUGCUCCUGGAUUCAGCGGCGGACGGGUGAGUAAUGCCUAGGAAUCUGCCUGGUAGUGGGGGAUAACGUCCGGAAACGGGCGCUAAUACCGCAUACGUCCUGAGGGAGAAAGUGGGGGAUCUUCGGACCUCACGCUAUCAGAUGAGCCUAGGUCGGAUUAGCUAGUUGGUGGGGUAAAGGCCUACCAAGGCGACGAUCCGUAACUGGACUGAGAGGAUGAUCAGUCACACUGGAACUGAGACACGGUCCAGACUCCUACGGGAGGCAGCAGUGGGGAAUAUUGGACAGUGGGCGAAAGCCUGAUCCAGCCAUGCCGCGUGUGUGAAGAAGGUCUUCGGAUUGUAAAGCACUUUAAGUUGGGAGGAAGGGCAGUAAGUUAAUACCUUGCUGUUUUGACGGUACCAACAGAAUAAGCACCGGCUAACUUCGUG